CCGCCCCUCACAUCGCGAAAGUGGAUUGUACUAGAAGUCCGUGAGCUGACCUUCGGGAGGCAGCGGCCCACGGUAUGAUCCGAUGAUUGGGGUG
RNAcentral lists this ribosomal RNA (94 nucleotides) under uncultured bacterium. RNAcentral describes it as "partial 16S ribosomal RNA". The record is from RNAcentral.